UUUCCAGAGAUGGACUGGUGCCUUCGGGAACUGUGAGACAGGUGCUGCAUGGCUGUCGUCAGCUCGUGUUGUGAAAUGUUGGGUUAAGUCCCGCAACGAGCGCAACCCUUAUCCUUUGUUGCCAGCGAUUAGGUCGGGAACUCAAAGGAGACUGCCAGUGAUAAACUGGAGGAAGGUGGGGAUGACGUCAAGUCAUCAUGGCCCUUACGACCAGGGCUACACACGUGCUACAAUGGCGCAUACAAAGAGAAGCGACCUCGCGAGAGCAAGCGGACCUCAUAAAGUGCGUCGUAGUCCGGAUUGGAGUCUGCAACUCGACUCCAUGAAGUCGGAAUCGCUAGUAAUCGUGGAUCAGAAUGCUACGGUGAAUACGUUCCCGGGCCUUGUACACACCGCCCGUCACACCAUGGGAGUGGGUUGCAAAAGAAGUAGGUAGCUUAACCUUCGGGAGGGCGCUUACCACUUUGUGAUUCAUGACUGGGGUGAAGUCGUAACAAGGUAACCGUAGGGGAACCUGCGGUUGGAUCACCUCCUUACCUUAAAGAAGC
Molecule: ribosomal RNA, 548 nt
Filed under: Salmonella enterica subsp. enterica serovar Virchow
Lineage: Bacteria; Pseudomonadati; Pseudomonadota; Gammaproteobacteria; Enterobacterales; Enterobacteriaceae
Description: bacterial SSU rRNA
Rfam family: Bacterial small subunit ribosomal RNA
Source: RNAcentral